GAAUAGCAAACAAAGAAUUAAUAUAAAUACAAAUUCUUUUUCUUUGUUACACAAAUAUAUCAAGUGUUUCGAUCACAAAGUAAACUCCGACUCUCUACUGGUGUGUACAACAUCAAUAAAGGAAGCAAUUGUAUCUAACGCAAACAAAGGAAUAUUUGUUUUGUAGCAAGGCAAUGCUGACUCGUGCAGCGAUAGAUAAGAAUGUAUGUACGUAUGCACAUAUGUACUUACAUAAUAUUUACACAAUUUAUAAAAUACAACGAGAAAUCCAUGAAAUCAAAACAGAAUAACAAAUUAUGAUAAUACUUUUCAGUUUUGUUGUCUUAUAAAUAAUCUUCUUAGAAGACUUUUCUGUUACGCUUACUUUACACAAAUAGAUAUCGUGCGUAUACAUUGUGUUCGCAUUAUCAAGCAAAAUUAAAUGGUAUCGAAUGAAGGAUCACGCGAUGCGUUUAUCGACUCCGGAAGUGAAGACGUUUCUCAUGGAUUUCCCUAUGACUUUAAACAACAUUUAAACUGUAAUUUUUCAAUCCUUUUAAAAAAUAUGACAAUUUUUAAGCAUAUGAUCCAGAGUAAAUGCUCUGUUUAUCUUGUAUUAACGAUAAGAGCGGCUCUGUUCAUUGUCUAUUACACAAGUAUGUAAUACGGAUAUAUUAUACAAUAUAUAUUCAAUUGAUUGAUACAAAUGUCAACAAGUUAUUCGUCUAAUAACAUUACAGUAUGCAAUAAAACGAUUAGAUAGUAUAUGAAACACGUCGUUUAAAUAGAUGCCGCUAACCAUUUUAAUCUUCUUUUAGAUACUAAUUGAAAGAGCUACUUUUUCAAUUGAAUCACUGAAUUCCUUUGUUAUACGAAAUAUGUAUGUACAUGUGUAGAUGUUAAAAAAAAAAAAGAAAAAAAACUCGAUAUA
This is a long non-coding RNA of Osmia lignaria (orchard mason bee), 910 nucleotides long. RefSeq lists it as uncharacterized. The record is from RefSeq and is a predicted model, not a curated record. Lineage: Eukaryota; Metazoa; Arthropoda; Insecta; Hymenoptera; Megachilidae.